Molecule: unclassified non-coding RNA, 210 nt
Filed under: Hevea brasiliensis (rubber tree)
Lineage: Eukaryota; Viridiplantae; Streptophyta; Magnoliopsida; Malpighiales; Euphorbiaceae
Source: RNAcentral
UGAUCAUAGAACUAGUUCCAGUGUAAAAAAGAGGGUUAGAGGGGGUGCACUUUCGGAGGGAUCACGGUGCAGUCGGGUCAAUGGGAGAGGAUGGAGGUGUUGCCAACAAACUCUUGUGGGCUACUCUCUCUGUGAGCAUCACCUGGGCAAAGGAAGGCUGAGAAGCAUGACCAGCGUUAGAAGCAGAUCCAUGGCUAAAACUGCGACAAG